CAAAGGGUGCGAAGCCAAACCUUAGUCCUCAGUAAAGAAUUAAACGCGAUUCCGCGAGGUGCCCCCUUUAGAAAUUACAUUGCGGGACACUGUAGUGUAUAUAUAUGUAUAUUGUACAGAUUCUAUUUUUGUACUGUUGAAAACGGAAUAAAUGACUUUUUUACGACAAAUUCGAUUGACUGAAAGUGACAAUACGGUCCCGACUGUUCGCGAAGAAACGAAAAACAGAUCGAUAUAGUAGAAAGUUAAAUUUUUUUUGUACACGGAUUAGGUAGGUUCAACAGAAUCCAACAUUACCGAUGGGUAGAACAGAUAUGUCAAAAACGCUGAACGCUUAUAGAAUCAAAAAAAUAGAAAAUAUUGGUAGAAUGACGGCCAUGACGCAGGAAGAAAUUAUGGCUGGUGCCAGAAUUGUGGCCCAGGGUCUGGAAGCUCUCCGUGUAGAACAUGGAGGACUUCUUCAAGCCUUGCAGACCCAAGAUGCGCCAGUCGCAAGAGACAAAGCUAGUUUAUUAUCAAAGAAUAUCGAGAUGAUAGAAUUAGGCCUUGGAGAGGCACAAGUUAUGAUGGCUCUUGCAAAUCACUUACAAAUGGUAGAGGCUGAGAAACAAAAGCUUAGAACACAAGUAAGAAGGUUGUGCCAAGAAAAUGCCUGGUUAAGAGAUGAAUUGGCUGGUACACAGCAAAAAUUGCAAGCCAGUGAACAAGCACUAGUCCAGUUGGAAGAACAAAAGAAACAUUUAGAUUUUAUGGAAAGCAUGAAACAGUACGAUCCUGAUCCUUCCGCGGAUGAUGAAAAUGCUAAAGACAGACCGCCAGAUGAUCCUGUGGUUGAUCUAUUCCCCGAUGAUGAUGCGGACGACCGAAAUAGUAAGUCAAUAUCACCGACACCGCCUUCACAAUUUGCACAACAAGUGAAUGCUGGAUACGAGAUACCUGCACGUUUGCGUACGCUGCACAAUUUGGUUAUACAGUACGCGAGCCAAGGCCGCUAUGAAGUAGCUGUUCCCUUAUGCAAGCAAGCAUUGGAGGAUUUGGAAAAAACUUCUGGUCAUGAUCAUCCUGAUGUUGCCACAAUGUUGAACAUUCUUGCUUUAGUAUAUAGAGAUCAAAAUAAAUAUAAAGAAGCGGCGAAUUUGUUGAACGAUGCCUUGGCUAUUCGUGAAAAAACGCUCGGUGAAAAUCAUCCUGCAGUCGCUGCUACGUUGAAUAACUUGGCUGUUUUAUAUGGGAAACGGGGCAAAUAUAAAGAGGCUGAGCCAUUGUGCAAACGUGCUCUCGAUAUUCGAGAGAAGGUUCUCGGUCGUGAUCAUCCUGAUGUCGCGAAGCAAUUGAAUAAUCUUGCGUUGCUGUGUCAGAAUCAGGGUAAAUACGAAGAGGUAGAACGCUAUUACUUGCGAGCGCUAGAAAUUUAUGAAGGUAAACUGGGACCGGAUGAUCCUAAUGUUGCAAAGACGAAAAAUAAUCUGGCAUCGUGUUACUUGAAGCAAGGAAAAUACAAAGAUGCUGAAGUUUUGUAUAAACAAGUAUUGACUAGAGCACACGAAAAAGAAUUUGGUGCUAUUGCCGGUGAUAACAAACCAAUUUGGCAGGUUGCGGAAGAAAGAGAAGAAAAUAAGCAUAGAAAUAAAGAGAAUACUCCGUAUGGAGAAUACGGAGGUUGGCAUAAAGCUGCUAAAGUGGAUUCUCCUACAGUCACAACUACCCUAAAAAAUCUUGGUGCAUUAUAUCGAAGACAAGGAAAAUACGAGGCUGCAGAAACAUUAGAAGAUUGUGCUCUUAGGUCACGAAAAGAGACAUUGGAGUUCGUGAAGCAAGGAAAAGUUGCGCAGCUUUUAGGAGAAGAGAAGGGAUCGACGAGACGCGGCUCGCGAUCCAGUUUAGCCAAUAGCGAACACGAGCAACACGACGAGGACCGGAAGUAUUAUGUUCGUGCACAGUAAGGGAUACUACGUAAGAGAGCUAUACGCGAAACGAUACCACAGGCAGGAUAACACAAGGGCUCUGCAUUGUUUAGUUGAAACAUUGUUCGAUGUCCAUUUUAUCCGAAUCGUUUUACGUAUAACAGCACAUUCCAGCUGCUUUUCUCGAUUAAUAAGACGCAUCGUAUAAAGAAACAACUACUUCAUGUUGCUGACGUUUUCAAUACGGUGACGAUUUAAGAUAUGCUAGCGACUGACUGUUUUUGAAAUAGCAAGCAAGGAAAAGAGACACAGAGUAUAAGGCGAAUUGCUUCGAGAAUGUAUCUGAAUCAAAAAUCCUAUUCAAGCCAAUCGUUUUUUUUUCCUUUUUUUUUUUUUUUGCGUUUCUAGACUUUUCAACAGAAGAGCAGAGGAUAUUCAUCGCUGCAAACGAUUAUAUUGACCUAAAAGAAAAAAAAAAACCGUCAUGUAUUCGAUUCUUUCUUCGCAUUGUAUAGUACAUAUGCUAUGAAUCCAUAUUUGCAUCUACAUGCAUCUAAUCAGGUCGUCAUAUACAUAUCCUUUUCGUUGGGUCGUUAUACCCAUUAUGAUUGGAGUAACGUGACAAUGUGUAAUCAUUCCACGAGUUCUAGCUUCUCUUUAUCAAAGUUCGAUAAGAAUCGGAUGAAAAAAAGGAUUCACAUUUAAACAUAGAAGGAACAUUUGUAUGUCGCUUAGCAUUAUUGAAUGUAUUUCCUACACAUCAUACACAGAGAGACACACAUUACACCGUGCACAUUAGAAUAAUGCGAGUAUAUUCAUCGUCAUAUUAAAAAGAGUGUAAAACAAGCUAGAAGGGGGAGAAACUGCGCUUUCCCUUUCAUUUUUGUCUCUCGGAAUUUAUUUAUGCGGAGAAUAACGUAUAAACAAUAUUGGAAAAGAUUUAUCUUUCCGGCCACGUCGAUUUCUCUGCCCUAUUUAUAAUUGUACAUUUAAGUACUUAUAUAUUAACGUAUUCGCAAAUAUUUAAUUUAUUCUCUCUGCGUUCGAUUCGUUGUUUAAACGACGAUACAGCAGUAUAUACUGAUGAUCAGUGCAAGCAUGAUGAUUAUUAUACAUAUAUUGUAUUAUAAGAUCGUAAUUAUUAUUUAAAUUAUUUUGAAGAGAAAGAAAGAAAAAUUUCAUUCUUUUCUUUUUCUCUGUAGCCUGUUUUAUUAAAGCGCGCAAAACGAGAAUUCGUCUUUUGACAAAUUUGUAUAUUCCGCUUUAAACAUCGUAUGCAUUCAAAAGCCAAGAAUCAUAUUGUAACCGGCUGUGAAUUAAAAACUGAGUCUGAAAUUAUUUGAUCGUUUGAACAGUUACGACGACGCAGAAUGAUGAUCGUUUGAAUUAGUCGAGUCCUUGGUACAUUUUAUCCUUGUUCAAGUUAAAGAUCUCACGUUUUUGUUUCGAACAUAAUAUUGUUAUACUGUCUGAUACAUUCAGUUACCAUGGUGAUAUUAUUUGCUCUAACCACUCGUUGAAUACAAGCAUGGAAUACCACUGUUGCAAUAACAAUUAAUAAUUAAUUAAUGUUGUAAUUAUAAUUGCUUCCAUGGUACAAUUGUCGAUGGAAAGUAAUUAUAAUUGUGUUUAGAAAUAUUAUGACAGAAAGUAGCGAGAGUAAUCUUUUACUUCCAUUAUUGCUUGAUAACAACGAAUGAAAUAAUCUUGCAGAAUUCUGACCGAUUAUUAUAUAAUACUUGUUGUAUUAGAAUAACGAACAAACAAAAUGAAGAAGAAAAAAAAAAAACUUUUUACAAUGGCUGCUGCUUGCUUGUUCAAUAUUCUUAAACUAAAUAUAAUAAUAACUAAACUAAAUAUUCACAUGUAUAUGUUGAAUAAUUAGGAAAAAAAGAAAAAAAAAAAAAAUCUUUUGAAAUAGAAAAAAAAAAAAAAUUCGCUUAAGCGAGCAAAAAUAUAUGUAACGUGAGUUCUAUUGGACUGGCCUAGUUCAAAAGAUUUAAGAUUGCACCUCGAAAUACCGGUGUAUAUUAAUCAUUUACAGUCGUAGCGAUGAUGAUGAUUCGUUUUCGAUUUACGUGCAAUUCCCGAUCGCGAGGCUAGGUUUCACUUUUUAUUACGGAGACUUACGGAUACAAUCUCGGUAUUUAGUUUUGCGUCCAUCUAUGAUGAUUCUUAGUCGUUUUUUAAGUAAUCAUUUUUCCCCUCUAGCGUUAAUUUUCUUCAUUUUCAUAGUACAUGUUUUUAUUUGAUUUUCAUGUGUGCUCUCAUUAUCCUGAAAAAA
This is a long non-coding RNA of Apis florea (little honeybee), 4188 nucleotides long. RefSeq annotates it as kinesin light chain. The record is from RefSeq and is a predicted model, not a curated record. Lineage: Eukaryota; Metazoa; Arthropoda; Insecta; Hymenoptera; Apidae.